This 6887-nucleotide long non-coding RNA is filed under the name Sus scrofa (pig). RNAcentral's name for it is "lncRNA (ENSSSCG00000054935.1)". The record is from RNAcentral. Lineage: Eukaryota; Metazoa; Chordata; Mammalia; Artiodactyla; Suidae.
ACAAAUACUUUUGUCAUUCAAAUCAUUAAAUGACAUAGCUCUACUACUAUAGUUCCACUGUGCUGAAAGGAGAAGGAUGUUAGAAGAUGCAUUUGUUAUGUGGAAAGGGAGGAAUCAUGGCUGUAUGUCCAACUUUUGUAGUAAGAAUAGGUAGGCUAGAUAGGCCCAAGAGAAAGAAAACACAUCAUACGAAAGUAAGGAUGAAAUAAGGUUGGCGUUAGGAUAUAGACUGCGAAGACUCCAAAGCUCUCAGACGCAGCCAGCUCAGGUCAGAACACUCCUGGGAGAGUAAGUGAAUGAGUCUAUCCAUAAUGUGAAGCUGUGAGAGUUUCCAGGUGAUCUUCUUACUAUGAAAAUGGUUUCUAAGACUGAGCAGAAUAGGACUGAUUGAGACAAAAAUCAGCCAUCUGUCUGAAUAGAGAUUCUAAAAUUUUAGAUGUAACUUCAAUUUCAUUAUAGCUCAUAAGAGAAAAGCUAAAACAGUACCAUAGUGAACACAGACAGAAUGGAAUGAUGUAUCCCAAUUUUGAAAACCAAUUAGUGAAAAAAAUGUGACUUGCUUAAAAUAAGUAAGUUUAGGAAAUAAAAGCAAAACCAGAUCAGAUACAAGUUUAGAACAUCUCUGUACACCUGAUAAGUAGAUAGACUCAUUAAACUAGUGCAGAUGUGCUAUUUCUCAUAGUUACAGGGAUCAGCUUGUACUCUGGGAGAUGAUAGUCAGUGCUCACAUUCCUUGGAAUUUCAUAUUAGUAUUAGGGCUUUUAUUAGUUUCAAUCUUCUUGGAAUAAUUUAUGGCUACAGGGAGUGAGAGUACUCAAUGUGUAGGAACCACUUAUACAUAAGGUUGACCAGACUGGGCCCACUGAUUGAAUUAACUAUCUUGUUAUUGGAGAACUAAUUAAAAUAAAUGUUAUUAAAUAUUUUGCCAAAUAGGUUAAGAUAUUCAGCAGUCAAGAGAGAUUUCCUGUAGUACCAAUGACUUGUGCCUGUGUUUAUGAUACCAGAAAAGGUAUGGAGGAAUAUUAAAAUACAUAUUUGGCUGUUCAGGCUUCCAAGAGACAGAAUAUCUGUAGGCCCCAGUCAAACUGAAAACAUAUAGGUUAUUGCUGUAGAUUUACUAUUGUCCCCCAUUAUUCACUUCAUAAAGCAUGUUAUAUCCCAUCCCAUUGCCAUAUGACUUGCCAAAUGUCUUCCCUGUAGGGAGAAUGCAGGUUCUGAACAAACUGACAUUAGUACUGGCUGCGUGAAUUGAUUUGGACACUGGGAUAUGAGUGAACAUGAAUGACGCUCCUUACAAAUUAAAUACCCAAGACCAUUUUCCUUUGCCAUGAGAACGACAUGUUCCAAACAGAAGUUGCUCCUUCAGCUCAGAAUUGAAAAUGAAGCAGACGCACAAGAGCCAAGCCCGCAGGUGCCGGUUCUAUAAUGUGGAUGAGAAAUAAUGAUAUAUUGUGGUAAGGCUCAAUGUGAAAUGCAAAUAAGCCAGUGAAAAUUUAGGACUUUUUUUUUUUUAACUAGAGGAAAGCUAACCAAUCCAAGUAACCUUGAAAUAAGUGGUGGAUACAAGUAGGUUAAUUGCAGUUUAAAGGAAAUAAGGUAAAUACAUCUUCUUUUUAAACACUUUAUUAAUGUAAUAUCACAAAAGUAAAAUCUAAUGAUGCAUAGAGGCUUAUGAAUGAUUACAGUGAGCCUAAAAUCUUACCAAGUCUAUUAGCUUUUAAUGGAAUAACAGAAAUACCCACAAAUGUGGAUCUUAGCCAGUGUUAUUACCUCAAAUUAAAAACUGUUUCUAUUCUAUACCACUGAAGGAAAGAUGUCAGUGCAAAGUUAUAUCACACUGAAAGCAGGCAGAGGACAGAAAGAGUUCCAUCUGAGAACUUAUCUAUGGAGUUCCCGGCAUGGCUCAGUGGUUAGUGAACCCAACUAGCAUCCAUGAGGAUGCGGAUUUGAUCCCUGGCCUUGCUGAGUGGGUCAAGGGUCUGGCGUUGCUGUGAGUGUGGUGUAGGUCACAGACAUGGGUUGGAUCUGGCAUUGGUGUGGUUCUGGCAUAGGCCAGCAGCUACAGCUCCGAUUGGACCCCUCGCCUGUGAACCUCCAUAUGCCACGGGUGCGGCCAUCAAAAGACAAAAAAAAAGAAAGGAAGAAAACUUAUUUUCUAAUUAUAUGAACAUUUUUAAGAACAGAGCUACAUUUGUUAAUUGAAAGUCUUGAUGACCUCUUGUUAAUAUUUGUUAGCCAGCCAUCACAAGGAUAUUAGAAAAUACCUAUCCAUAUGUUGGAGGCACUUAAGGAAAAUAAUUUCUAAUUCAACUUGGAGGAACACAUCUUUCUCAAUGGAAAAAUAAGCAGGACUUCAGAGGUACAGGGUACUAAGUUCAGAUUAUUCUCAGUAAAAAUUAGCCAUAGAGAAAAGCAUCAGCUAAUAUGGACAUUAAUGAAAGGGAUGAUAGCUGCACUUUUGCCUGGCCUCAUUAACAUCUGAUGAAAUUUUUAACCUUCAAGCAAUAAUAGCUGCCAAUAUUAUGACCAUUGUAAUUAACUGCAUGAGACAGAAGACAUGUGAAGUAAAUGACUACUGAGGGCCUUGCAUUUGUGAGGAUGAAGUAUCUAUGCUAAAAGAUGCAUUGCUUGUUUCAGGGGAGUUCUAUAACCUAGAAUUUUGUUGAGGGUGGUGGUGUUAGUGGCAGCAAAAAUUCUGAAGCAAUCUUAUUACUAAUUCCAUUAAUAGUUCAAACUGGACACUUUUUUAGAAGGACCACUUUUUAAUAACUAUUGUCUAGCGGAUAGAGCUAUAUUAAACUAUUAGAGAAGGCUGUGUUCUAGUUGGGGGGGGAGGCUGUGAUCACUUUAGAAUAUUUGCAUCCCAUUAUAAAUGUAAUUUAUUUCAUAUUGAGUAGGAAGACCUAGCCAGUUUUCAUUGAUGAUAGGUAGGAAGAUAGAUGAAAAACUAUGCUGGUGGAGGUUGUAAAUUCUAUGAUAGCAUAAGAAUUUCAGGAGUUGAUGACAUUAAAAUUUCCAGGGAGGAAAUGUUGGAUCCCUGGCAUUCAGUAGGUCUUGGAAAUUGUGGCAGGAGGCAGAGUUAAGCGUCCAAUAAGACUUCAGUAGUAAAGGAAAAUUUCCCCUGGUGUUUGUAAACGUUUUUGUGAGUCUGGGGGCAAAAUGCUAUUCUAUUUGAUGAACUGAUAAUCAAUUUCUAGCCCAAAAUGGGUUGAGCAUAGGAGUAGAUAUAAAAUCACAACAAACAAGUGGGACAGGCUAAGGCAAGUGUGGGGGCAAGGGAACAUGACAGAGUAGUUUUUCAGGUGCUUUAGAAGGAUCCCUGGAGUUCCCGUCAUGGUGCAGUGGAAAUGGAUCCAACUGGGAACCGUGAGGUUGUGAGUUGGAUCCCUGGCCUUGCUUGGUGAGUUAAGGAUCCAGUGUUGCUCUAAGCUGUGGUAUAGGUCACAGACACAGCUCAGAGCCCACGUUGCUGUGGCUCUGGUGUAGGCCAGCAGCUGUGGCUCCAAUUAGACCCCUAGCUGGGAACCUCCAUAUGCCGUGGGUGCGGCCCUAAAAAGACGAAGGACACACCCCCCCCCCAAAAAAAAGAAGAAGAAGGAUUCCUAAUGUUCUUGAGGUCAGCAGGACCAUUCUUUCUCAUGAAAGGGAAUUAAUUCUGAUCUUGAUUCAAGCAAACAAAAAACCCACAAAUGUACUUCCAUUUGGGCCAGUAGCAAUUGAUAAUUAAUCUCAAGUUUCCUUACAAGGGAAAAGUCUUGUGGUCUAGGGUCUAGAGGCAAAUUUCUGGGCCCCAAAUAUUCUCAUAUGUAAGGGUAAAUGUAGGAAGUGAAGUCUUCAAAUAUUUUGUAUUAAUGACUUGUGGGGCUGGUGGAGGGUCAAGGUAGAAGAGAAUCGAAAAUGGGACACUACCUACCCUAUGUGACUUAGUGAUUUUUCAGCAAAAACAAGAGGAGCUGAGGCAAGCGAGUUGGGGACUCUGCUAACAUGUUUUUAUUAUCUUUGUACCAAUAAAUUUGGGCCAGCAUUUUUAUUUGUAUAAUAGCAGUCAUUUCUCAAGAAUGAAUAAAGGCUCUCCUCACAAAAUAUCAAUCCAUUAAGGUCACUGCUGAGAUUUUAGCCCCUGGAGUUUCCCAUAAAAGACAUUUCCCUAAGAUUAUUUACUUAAAUGAUGCAUCCACCUUUAAAGUAGACAACUUGAAGGGAUUGUAAUUAUAUUUAUAUGUAUAUGUAUACCUUACAUGUUGCAGUAUGAAAGCAGUUAUGAAAUUAGAAAAUAAAAUCAUCUUAAAGGGGAAAAUAAUAUAUUGAUCAUACCAUUUGAUUUUUAUGCUGGUAUGAAACCUAGAAGAAAUCAUGAUAUUCACUUUAUGAGUUUUGGGAAACCAUCCCCCACCCCCUGCUCCACAGACACACACACACACACAUACACACACACACACACACCCCCUUGUUCUUCAUAUUGUCACAAGUCGUGGAGCAUCUCAAUUUCUAAUACACAGAAGAAUAAGGAUCAAAUGUGUGAGUCAUAUUAUAAGACAUGAUAUGAAACAUGGUCUAACUUUCCUGGGUGAAGGAAUAUAAAUUGGAGAAUUUACGUGUUCACCUCAAGCCCAAAUGGCAGAGGCAAUUUUUUUUCAUUGAGUUGUAUGUGGCUACAAACACAGGCACAGUUAAAAUCAUAAAAGAAAUCCAUUUUUGCAGUUCUGAAAUUCCCAUCAGUGACUGUAGCAUACCUUGAAGAGCUGUUGAAUCUAUUAAGAUGAUGGUUAUUUUAUUCACAAGUGUACGUAUUAUAUAAAAUAUGUGUUAUGCAUAUAUAUGUACUAUUUAAUCAAGAUAUAUACAAAAGAAAUACAUGCUUGCUGAGUCAAAAAAUAAAUGCAUAGUCAGGAACUAGAGGAAGCAUAUUUCAUAAAUAGGCCAAGUGAAAACUGGACACAUCUUUCUGGGAGAAUAAUAUGACCAGUGGUUUUGGAAACCAUUCUUCUGCACUCCCUUCCUUCCUUCCCUCCUGCUUUCCUAUCUACAUCCCAUUUUCUACACCAGUCCAGGUUUUUCUGCCUUCCCCUUUUCUUUUCUGACCAUUGAGGCUUAUUUUGUUUUUAUUUGUUAUAAGACAGUCUGAUUUGUUAUAAGGGGUAACUGUAGGAUUAUUGUUUUAGCAAGGGGACUCCAAAUCUUGUUUUUACUUGUCUGUAACAAUUUGGUGUUCUUAACUGUAUCAUCACAUACCUGCACCCGGAGAUAGGAUGAUGCUAGUGACCUGAAACGGAACCUCUGAGAUUCUGGAAACUGCUGGGCUCUCUCUUUUUCUUUUGAUAUGUAUAUCUCUCCAAACUAUUUAAGGAGAGAUCUGUAUUUUUGUUUUCCAAAAAAAAGCAAAUUAAAAUCUAAUGGUUCACCAUGGUGAGCUUGAGAGGAACACUCACGAAGGGGCUUUAAUUUUAACAUUAGCAAAGUUGAUUAAAAUAAAAAAGAAUCAGAUCUUUCCUUUCAUAUGUUAGUAUGUUUUUCUAGAAGUUUGCUCAAUAGGCUACUUUAUGGUUUACUGAAGAUACAAUGACCCUAAUGUGAUAGAGAGUAAUUCAAGCUUGAGUCCCAAGAAUACCAUUAAUUGAACUUUCUCAAAUUCAGGGGAGAGGCUAAAGUUAAUGAGGGUGAGUUUAACUUAUAAAAAUAUUUUAGGUAUUGGAGUUCUCUUAUGGCACAGCUGGUACUGUCACUGCUGCAUCUCGUGUUGGAUCCCUGGCCCGGGAAAUUCCAUAUGUCACUGGUGUUGCCGAAAAUGAAUGAAGGAACAAAACUUUUAGGUAUUAUAUUUAAUGAGAACUAAAAGUAAAGUAGUUUAAUUGUUUUUGGUUUUGCUGUCUUAAUUUUUUUCUUUAAUAUGAAAUCAUAGUUGGUGUUGAGUCCAGAGUGAUAGUUUCUAAAGCUGGGGGGGGGAAUGCCUUUAAUAAAUAUUGAGUUCCCGUCAUGGCGCAUUGUAAACGAAUCCGACUAGGAACCAUGAGGUUGCAGGUUUGAUCCCUGCCCUCGCUCAGUGGGUUGAGGAUCCAGCGUUGCCAUGAGCUGUGGUGUAGGUCACAGAUGUGGCUCGGAUCUGGUGUUGCUGUGGCUCUGGUGUAGGCCGAUGGCUACAGCUCCGAUUAGACCCCUAGCCUGGGAACCUCCAUAUGGCUCGGGUGCGGCCCUAAAAGGACAGAAGAGACCAAAAAAUAAAAAAGAAUAGUCCAGUAGCAUAUCCAAUUAUUGAAAAUAAUAUGUAAGUAUUGUGAAGGACAAAUGCAGUGUGCUGUAAAUGAAAGGUCUAACUUAGCCUAGAUAAUGUCCUUGAUAUUUUCCUAACAUAUAUAUAUUUUUAAUCUUUUCAUUGAGAUCAAAAUGAUGAGUGGUUAGCUGGAAAAAAAGAGAAUGACAGAAUGGUUUGGCCAGAGGGAAUAGUAUGUGUGAUGGUCUAAGGCAGGGAACAGUAUUGCACACUGGCAGAAAUGAAGGAAGGCCAGGGUGAAAAAAAAAGGAUAGGACAAUGUUAGAAGAUAAAGCUGGAGAGUAAAGUGUGGACCCAAUAAUGAUGGACUUUGUUCAUGUUAAAAGUGGGAAGGCCAUUGAAAGAUUAUAAAAAAAGAAAGACAUUUCGAUUUGUAUUAGUAAGUGAUUGAUUUUCCUAUACCUUGAAGAAUGAUUUGCAGGACAAGAAAAGAAGUGGGACCACUUAGUAGGCUGCUGCAUUACUUCAAGAACAUAUGAUGAUAGAUUGGUUUAGGAUCCUGGCAGAGAAGAUGCUGAGAUAUACAAAGUCUGAGGCCUAUUCAGGAGAUAAAAUCAAUAGAGCAUCAGGCUUCACUGAGAUGGGGUUUGAGAGAGAAAGGAGAGUCCUGAAGAAUUCU